Molecule: ribosomal RNA, 496 nt
Filed under: uncultured bacterium
Lineage: Bacteria
Description: partial 16S ribosomal RNA
Rfam family: Bacterial small subunit ribosomal RNA
Source: RNAcentral
GAUGAACGCUGGCGGCGUGCCUAAUACAUGCAAGUCGAGCAAACAGACGAGGAGCUUGCUCCUCUGACGUUAGCGGCGGACGGGUGAGUAACACGUGGAUAACCUACCUAUAAGACUGGGAUAACUUCGGGAAACCGGAGCUAAUACCGGAUAAUAUAUUGAACCGCAUGGUUCAAUAGUGAAAGACGGUUUUGCUGUCACUUAUAGAUGGAUCCGCGCCGCAUUAGCUAGUUGGUAAGGUAACGGCUUACCAAGGCAACGAUGCGUAGCCGACCUGAGAGGGUGAUCGGCCACACUGGAACUGAGACACGGUCCAGACUCCUACGGGAGGCAGCAGUAGGGAAUCUUCCGCAAUGGGCGAAAGCCUGACGGAGCAACGCCGCGUGAGUGAUGAAGGUCUUCGGAUCGUAAAACUCUGUUAUUAGGGAAGAACAAAUGUGUAAGUAACGAUGCACGUCUUGACGGUACCUAAGCAGAAAGCCACGGCUAACUACGU